UACAGAGGUCCCGAGCGUUGUUCGGAUUCACUGGGUUUAAAGGGUGCGUAGGUGGGCAGGUAAGUCAGUGGUGAAAUCUCCGGGCUUAACUCGGAAACUGCCAUUGAUACUAUCUGUCUUGAAUACCGUGGAGGUCAGCGGAAUAUGUCAUGUAGCGGUGAAAUGCUUAGAUAUGACAUAGAACACCAAUUGCGAAGGCAGCUGGCUACACGAAUAUUGACACUGAUGCACGAAAGCGUGGGGAUCAAACAGG
This 253-nucleotide ribosomal RNA is filed under the name uncultured bacterium. RNAcentral describes it as "partial 16S ribosomal RNA". It matches the Rfam family "Bacterial small subunit ribosomal RNA", at positions 524 to 776 of the family's 1533-position model. The record is from RNAcentral.